GUAUUGGUGGUUCAGUGGUAGAAUGCUCGCCUUCCAUGUGGGAUUACCCGGGUACCAUUUCUGGCCACUACA
This 72-nucleotide transfer RNA is filed under the name Loxodonta africana (African savanna elephant). It matches the Rfam family "tRNA". From Rfam's summary of the family: Transfer RNA (tRNA) molecules are approximately 80 nucleotides in length. Their secondary structure includes four short double-helical elements and three loops (D, anti-codon, and T loops). Lineage: Eukaryota; Metazoa; Chordata; Mammalia; Proboscidea; Elephantidae. The record is from Rfam by way of RNAcentral.